UGAGUACGAGAUGCUACGGCAUCGAAGCAGUCUAUGUCAUACUUCCAAGAAAAGCUUGCAAUGUCAUAAACAAAUAAUGCCUGUACCAUAACCGACACAGGUGGGUAGGUAGAGUAUACUAAGGGGCGCGAGAUAACUCUCUCUAAGGAACUCGGCAAAAUGACUCCGUAACUUCGGGAGAAGGAGUGCCUUAUUUUUAUAAGGUUGCAAUAACAAGAUCCAAGCAACUGUUUACCAAAAACACAGGUCUCCGCUAAGUCGUAAGACGAUGUAUGGGGGCUGACGCCUGCCCAGUGCCAGAAGGUUAAAGAAGUUGGUUAGCAUUAGCGAAGCUGAUAACUGAAGCCCUGGUGAACGGCGGCCGUAACGAUAACGGUCCUAAGGUAGCGAAAUUCCUUGUCGGGUAAGUUCCGACCCGCACGAAAGGCGUAAUGAUUUGGAUACUGUCUCGGAGAGGGGCUCGGUGAAAUAGACUUGUCUGUGAAGAUGCGGACUACCUGCACCUGGACAGAAAGACCCUAUGAAGCUUUACAGUAACUUGAGAUUGAAAUUGGACUUUAUCUGCGCAGUAUAGGUGGGAGACGUUGAAAAUAUUCUUGCGGGAAUAUUGGAGUCAUCAGUGAGAUACCACUCUUAUAAUGUUAGAUUUCUAACUUUGUAUCAUUAUCUGGUCAAAGAACAGUUUCAGGCGGGCAGUUUGACUGGGGCGGUCGCCUCCCAAACGGUAACGGAGGCGCACAAAGGUUUCCUCUGAACGUGUAGAAAUCGUAUCUAGAGUGUAAAGGCAUAAGGAAGCUUGACUGUGAGACCUACAAGUCGAGCAGGGACGAAAGUCGGUCUUAGUGAUCUGACGGUGCUGAGUGGAAAGGCCGUCACUCAACGGAUAAAAGUUACUCUAGGAUAACAGGCUGAUCUCCCCCAAGAGUUCACAUCGACGGGGAGGUUUGGCACCUCGAUGUCGGCUCAUCGCAUCCUGGGGCGGUAGUACGUCCCAAGGGUUGGGCUGUUCGCCCAUGAAAGCGGUACGCGAGCUGGGUUCAGAACGUCGUGAGACAGUUCGGUCCAUAUCCGGUGUAGGCGUUAGAAUAUUGAGAGGAGCCUUCUUUAGUACGGGAGGACCGAGAAGGACAUACCUCUGGUGUACCAGUUAUCGUGCCAACGGUAAACGCUGGGUGGCCAUGUAUGGAGAGGAUAACCGCUGAAAGCAUCUAAGUGGGAAGCCCACCUCAAGAUAAG
Molecule: ribosomal RNA, 1236 nt
Filed under: metagenome
Description: bacterial LSU rRNA
Rfam family: Bacterial large subunit ribosomal RNA
Source: RNAcentral